Molecule: long non-coding RNA, 788 nt
Organism: Lolium rigidum
Lineage: Eukaryota; Viridiplantae; Streptophyta; Magnoliopsida; Poales; Poaceae
Exons: 3
Source: RefSeq, a predicted model, not a curated record
CCCGAGGUCUUCUUCUAUGCGCAGAAGGUAGUGCUUCGCCCCACAGAUCCUCUGUUUGAUCAAGAGGCAGCCACACUGUGUGAGGGCUUUGACGUGGAUUUUCAUUCUCUGACCAUGGCAGUGAUGGAGCUCUCAUCAAUUUGGAGCUCAAUGACUUGCAGUUGUGCCUUCCAGAAUAUUGUUGUGAGGACCAACAUGAUUUUCGAGAAUCUUUCAUCUAAAGGAAUCUAGUCUAGCAAGAAAAACGUACUAAGAGGCCAAGACUAGCUAAUAGCUGCACAGGUAUCCUCACUGCUGGCUAAUCUGAACUUUUAUGUUUCCAUGAUUAGUUCAGAGCAUGAAACUAGUGUAUUAGAACGUGUCUUUCCAUUCUGCCUUUGAUGUACCUCACAUACAACUCUGAUAUUUCAGUAGAGGCCAUUUCCGUGCUUAAAUAAUAGUCCUCAUCUCAAAGCUUAUUUGAUCACCUUUCCAGUAUAUGUAUACAGAGAUAUACAAGAAAAAAAUGCAGAGCCUGGGGUGCACUGCUAUCAAGUGCUUCAUCUGGACGCACAAACCCAGGAAAAACAUAUUUGCAGUAUUUGAGAUAGGAGUGAAGGUUGAGGGGACAUGAAGGCUGUUGUUGCUGUGACAGAAGAUCAGAAAAAUCCGGUGGAGAUUUGCACCAGUCUUGGUUGAUAUAGCCACCAUGUCUUGAUUGUAUAUACACUUGUUGGAUCUAAACUGUUAGUGUGGAGUGUGGAUGUGCGUAUGUGUAACUGUUGUUACGAAUAUUUGAUUGAAUCAGA